AAUCAUGGGAUGGUUCUGAGAAAUGC
This 26-nucleotide non-coding RNA is filed under the name Homo sapiens (human). Lineage: Eukaryota; Metazoa; Chordata; Mammalia; Primates; Hominidae. The record is from RNAcentral.